UAGCACAAAGGGGAGCCGAAGCUCCCCUUUGAAUACUGUUGCGUGCUUUAUUGUUAUUAGUCGCUCAGGCGUUGCUGUUUUUGUUGUUCGCCUGUUCCAUCGGGCCGUAGCCGUUAGGAGCACUCCACACUGGGAGCUAAUAGCAAACGGAUUUCUUUGGUCGCUGACUUUGCCUUGAUCUUCGAUCCAACCAGUGCGGGCCCUGCUGAUGCAGUU
This 216-nucleotide unclassified non-coding RNA is filed under the name Stutzerimonas kunmingensis. Its description in RNAcentral is "Pseudomonas kunmingensis Pseudomonas sRNA P29". Lineage: Bacteria; Pseudomonadati; Pseudomonadota; Gammaproteobacteria; Pseudomonadales; Pseudomonadaceae. The record is from RNAcentral.